CGCCCGAGGAGAACGCGGGUACCAAACUCUUGCUGCAGGGUUUUGAGAGCCGCUUCCUAGUGGCGCGCACACUGCGCUCCUUCCCCUGGCAGACUGUGAGGCAUCCUGUGUGUGUGAAGCACCCGCCGUCAGUCAAGUAUGCCUGGUGCUUUCUCUCAGAACUCAUCAAAAAGCCCUCGGGAGGCUCGGUCACACUCUCCGAAAGCAUGGCCAUCAUCUCCCACAGCACCACGGGUCUGGUCACAUGGGAUGCCGCCCUCUACAUUGCAGAAUGGGCCAUCGAGAACCCGGCAGCCUUCACUCACAGGUCUGUCUUAGAGCUUGGCAGUGGUGCCAGCCUCACAGGCCUGGCCAUCUGCAAGAUAUGCCGCCCCCGGGCAUACAUCUUCAGCGACUGUCACAGCCGAGUCCUCGAGCAGCUCCAAGGAAAUGUCCUUCUCAAUGGCCUCUCAUUAGAGGCAGACAUCACUGCCAACUUAGACAGCCCUAGGGUGACAAUGGCCCAGCGCUGGACUGGGACGUAGUGACGGUCCAUCAGCGCUCUGCCUUCCAGCUAGAUGUUGUCAUUGCAGCAGGUUUUUGCUUGUCUGAUGACUGAUGGCUCCACCCAGACCUGCCAACCACUCCCGCGGCCCCAUCCAGAAGUGGCUCAGCGUGCAUGAGGACCAUCUCCAACAUCCCUGUGAUUGUACCCCCAACCAACCAGCAGCAAGAACCUAUUGCCUAGUCACCUCCCCUCUCUUUCCCCAACUAUCAUUGAAAAAGUCUGGCUUCCAAAUUUUCCGGGAGACUGAUUUGGGUAAUAAUAAAACUCCAGUCUUCUGUUCAGCCA
Long non-coding RNA from Homo sapiens (human), 832 nucleotides. Ensembl annotates it as family with sequence similarity 86, member A pseudogene. Its record names the gene FAM86B3P. The record is from Ensembl. NCBI's taxonomy places the organism in Eukaryota, Metazoa, Chordata, Mammalia, Primates, Hominidae.